CCACCCCACUAGAGGAGCUGUUCUAUAAUCGAUGAUCCCCGCUUCACCUAACCAUCCCUCGCUUACCAGUCUGUAUACCUCCGUCGAAAGCUUACCAUGUGAACGCCCGCAGUAAGCUUAAUGAUUUCACCAUCAACACGUCAGGUCAAGGUGCAGCUUGAAGGGACGGAAAGUAAUGGGCUACAAUUUCUAAUCUAGAACAAACGAAAGACAUAUGUGAAACCCUAGUCAUGAAGGUGGAUUUAGUAGUAAAAAGAAAAUAGAGUGUUACUUUUUAACCCGGCUCUGGGACGCGUACACACCGCCCGUCACCCUCUUCAACUAGCUACCCAGUAUGUUCCUAACCCAACACCACUGUUUUAGAGAGGAGUCGAUACUGGAU
Molecule: ribosomal RNA, 382 nt
Filed under: Rana temporaria (common frog)
Lineage: Eukaryota; Metazoa; Chordata; Amphibia; Anura; Ranidae
Description: partial 12S ribosomal RNA
Source: RNAcentral